Molecule: transfer RNA, 71 nt
Filed under: Ovis aries (sheep)
Lineage: Eukaryota; Metazoa; Chordata; Mammalia; Artiodactyla; Bovidae
Rfam family: tRNA
About the family: Transfer RNA (tRNA) molecules are approximately 80 nucleotides in length.
Source: Rfam by way of RNAcentral
UCCCUGGUGGUUGAGUAGUAAAGAAUCUGCCUGCAAUGCAGGAGACCCGGGUUUGAUCCCUGGGUAAGGAA